Molecule: non-coding RNA, 439 nt
Organism: Benincasa hispida (wax gourd)
Lineage: Eukaryota; Viridiplantae; Streptophyta; Magnoliopsida; Cucurbitales; Cucurbitaceae
Source: RefSeq, a predicted model, not a curated record
GAUUUGUCUCUUCCUAUCCUUAACAAAGCUGUUCAAGCUUUCAAGUCAUUAAGAAUUAGAGUAGGAGGUACCUUACAAGACAGGUUGAUAUAUAAUAUUGGAGAAGGUUUCAAGGGCCAUUGUCAACCAUUUCAAGCAGACAACGAUUUACUGUUUGACUUUACAGAAGGAUGUUUGUACAUGGAAAGGUAGGAUGAUUUGAACAACUUUUUCAACAACAUAGGGGCUAUUGUAACCUUUGGCUUAAAUGCUCUCUUGGGUAAGUACAACACAAAAGGAAUGCAGUGGGAAGGAAAUUGGAAUUACAGCAAUGCUGAGGCUCUUAUUCAAUACACAGUGGACAAGAAUUAUCAAAUAAAUUCAUGGAAGUUUGGUAAGUUAAAUAAUACUAAAAUCUUGUUUGAGUUAAGUAACUAUGAAUGUUUAAGGGUGACAUCGA